UGAGGUCUGGCAAGGGGAGUGAACACCUCCAGGCCUCACGUCUAUGCUACUUCCUAACUGAAUACCAUAAGAUAAGUUCGCUAAACUCGCCCUCUUCCCACUGCAAGAAUUAAGUCCCUUAAGCUUGUCCUCUGCAGAGGUUCUGGAGUGGCCACAGCCUGUAUUUCCUGACAAACACAUUGUUGCUAAGGAAGAAAGUGAGCCCGGAGAUCGUGUCAACAGCCUCACAAAUCUUGAAAUCCUCUGUGCAGGUUUAUGGCUUCUGAGAAGCAAGCAGAGGCAGCCUGUUCUCAGCACCGAAUGCAAUAAUUACAAGAACACUUGCAAUGAUUAAUCAGCCCGUGCGUAUUGAGUGGUGCCUGGGAGCACGCACGGCAGUGUGUGUGCUUGUGUGUGUGUGUGUGUGUGUCUCAGGGCAGGGGAGAGGGCAGCAGAGGCGACUGCUACUGGUGAGCAGGCUGCAGGUGUUCUUCCCUCAGUGGACAGGCUCAGGCAGCCACGAUGGUGCUCCUUGGGUAGUGUCAUGUUCUGCUAGGGCUGUAGUGGUUUCUGCCAAGGGAGGAAUCUUGACACCUGUGACCCCCCCUGCUGGGCUCCGGACCAGCAUGCUGGGAGGAAGGAAUUGACAAACAGAGGCGGGUUCCAGGCCUGUCAACCAGAUUAACGAGGGGCCUCGCCAGCAUGAUGUACGUGGCACAAAGGAGGGGCCUUGGGAUGUUCAGCCGGAAGAAAAGAUGCAGGGGACAUGAGAGCUAUCACCUGAGGAGGGAUUGGCUUUGCUCUGUGUAGUCCAGAAGGGGCCAGUGAUCUGUGGGGAUGAUGCAACAGGGAAAGAGCUUUCAGUUCAACAUAAGAUGGAACAUUCUCCACGUCCCUGAAGAAGGAGUGAGCUUUCCAGGAUGGUGAUGAGCACUUGGUCACCAGAGAUGAAGACCUGGAUCCUUGAAAUUGCCUGCAAGACCCUUUUGGAUCUGGCUCCUGCCUACCUCUCCAGCCCAGCUUCAAGUCCUCUAUUCUGCCCUGCCCUAAUCCUGGGCUUCCGGAGCCUUCUUUCAGGACCCAAACCCUCCAUACUCCUUCCAUCUCAGCCCCAACAUAGACCCUUCUUCCACCAGCCUCACUCCUCUUCCCAUCUGCUCACUUCUUCUCCUCUGAUGGUCCCAUCCCCAGGAAGUCCCCCAUGACCCCAAAGAGGGUUACACCACGUAUAUUCCCCCAGCUCUCACUCUCUUCCCCAAUGAUGAAACACCAUUAUAAUGGAAAGAUCAAUUGCAUCUUAAGGACUGGGUAUCUGCCUUCCCGACUAGAUCUCAGGCUCUAGGAGGGUAAGGGCAGGUCACUAUGCCUGCUUUCUUCAACACUGCCACCCAGCACUUGUUUAAUGUCUGGUUCUUGAUACAUAUUUGUUGAGUAAAUAAAUGACUGUCAUUUAAAAUUGCUCUCUUUAAACAUAUCUGAAACUGGGCUCAGCAUCUUCCAUGAAGUCCGGAUAUAAAAUCCCCUAAAAUAGCUUCACUCUUUUCUAGGUAGAUAUCUGACCUUCCCCAAAAAGUCUCCCUCUUUUCCCUCCUGACUUCUUAAAUUCUUAAAACCUCAAGUUUCUCUUUAAACCUAUCUCUGAUUUGCCAGUAUCAUCACCCCAAUCAGGCAUCAGAGUUUCCAGUUUCUUCCACCUUCUUCUGAUAAGCCCAAUCAUUUCCACACCUUGAUUGUGUUUUGAUUUUUGAGGCUGCAGCCAGCUGCAGUUAUUCUCAGCCCUUGAUGGCACAGAAGAGGAGGGUAGUUGCAGGGUAUCCCUGACUCAGCUACAACCAGCAGAGAGAUGCUGAUGUCCUCACUGGUCCUGGACCUCUGCUGGAGGUGGAGCUAUUGCAGUGGUCUGGUCUGGCAGGAGCAGAGGUUAUGGGAAUCCCUAUUUGACUCUCAUUUUGGCCAAUAUACCUUAAAGUAUGCUCAUAGCACAAAGGUUCUUUGAGAUGUUCUGCAAAAGAAAGAAUCCUGUGCCUGCUCUCUGGUCUCGGCCACAGAAGCAAGAUGAUGAAGGGAACAUCAUCGUUUGGAAAGCGUUGCAAUAAGACACACGUUGUGCCACUGCUGUGGCUGUAAGGCCUAUCACCUUCAGAAGUUGACCUGUGGCAAAUGUGGCUACCUUGCCAAGUGCGAGAGAAAGUAUAACUGGAGUGCCAAGGCUAAAAGAUGAAAUACCACCCGGACCAGUUGAAUAAGGCACCUAAAAAUUAUAUACCACACAUUCAGGCAUGGAUUCCAUGAAGGAACAACACCU
Molecule: long non-coding RNA, 2284 nt
Filed under: Homo sapiens (human)
Lineage: Eukaryota; Metazoa; Chordata; Mammalia; Primates; Hominidae
Description: non-protein coding lnc-CIB4-2:1
Source: RNAcentral